GAUGAAGAUCGUAGCGAAAUGCGAUAAGUAAUGUGAAUUGCAGAAUUCAGUGAAUCAUCGAAUCUUUGAACGCACAUUGCGCCCCUUGGUAUUCCGAGGGGCAUGCCUGUUCGAGCGUCAUUAUAACCCCUCAAGCUCAGCUUGGUGUUGGGGCCUGCUGCACUGGCAGCCCUUAAAAUCAGUGGCGGCGCCAUCUGGCUCUAAGCGUAGUAAUUCUUCUCGCUAUGGAGUCCUGGUGGAUGCUUGCCAUCAACCCCCAAUUUUUCUAUGGUUGACCUCGGAUCAGGUAGGGAUACCCGCUGAACUUAAGCAUAUCAAUAAGCGGAGGA
Molecule: unclassified non-coding RNA, 329 nt
Filed under: soil metagenome
Description: partial contains 5.8S ribosomal RNA, internal transcribed spacer 2, and large subunit ribosomal RNA
Rfam family: 5.8S ribosomal RNA (bases 1-120)
Source: RNAcentral